AUGCUUAAAAUUGAUCUUGCCAAAGCCUUUGAUCGUCUAGAAUGGAAAUUCAUUAUUGGCGCUUUGGCACAUAAAGGGCUACACAAUCAUUUCAUCCUCAUUUAUGCCUGCAUUUCUACUCCAGUCUUUUCCGUUAUCAUAAAUGGCCAAGAAUAUGCUAAAUUCAAAAGUAGUAGAGGCAUAAGACAAGGUUGUCCACUCUCUCCAUAUCUCUUUGUCCUUGCAAUUAAUGAAUUAUCUGUCUCCUUGCAGGAAGCUAUGAGACAUAACCAUCUUUCAGGUAUUUCCCUUGGACCAAACUGCCCCCCUAUCCACUCUCUCAUGUUUGCGGAUGAUCUUCUUGUUUGUGGCCAAGCUACACUCCAAGAAGCCACUAUUAUGAGUCAACUCAUUCAAUCUUUUUGU
Molecule: ribosomal RNA, 405 nt
Filed under: Triticum aestivum (bread wheat)
Lineage: Eukaryota; Viridiplantae; Streptophyta; Magnoliopsida; Poales; Poaceae
Description: partial small subunit ribosomal RNA
Source: RNAcentral